UAUGUGAUCGUCUCUCGCAUAUCAAUAAGCGGAGGAAAAGAAACUAACAAGGAUUCCCUUAGUAACGGCGAGUGAAGCGGGAAGAGCUCAAAUUUGAAAUCUUCAAGGUUUUACCUUGACGAAUUGUAGUUUAAAGAAGUGGUUUCUGUUGAAGUUUUGGUAAAAGUUCUUUGGAAUAGGACAUCAUAGAGGGUGAGAAUCCCGUAUUUGACCAUUAUUUUCAGCUGUGUGAUACACUUUCAAAGAGUCGGAUUGUUUGGGAAUGCAGUCCAAAAUGGGUGGUAAAUUUCAUCUAAAGCUAAAUAUUGGCGAGAGACCGAUAGCGAACAAGUACCGUGAGGGAAAGAUGAAAAGAACUUUGAAAAGAGAGUUAAACAGUACGUGAAAUUGUCAAAAGGGAAGCGUUUGACACCAGUGUUGUUUUCUCGAAAAUCAAUUAAAAAGAGUUGGAUUUUGUGUUGUAUUGACCUUAACAGCUUGCAUUUCACUCUUUCCUAGCUUUUUUUAAUGCACUUUUCGUUUAACAAGUCAACAUCAGUUUCUUUUGUUGUAAAAGGGUCAUUGGAAGGUGGCUUUCUCUUCGGAGAAAGUGUUUAUAGCCUUUGGCCUCUGCAAUCGGAGAGACUUGAGGUCUGCAGCGUAGAUCCUUCGGGGUUAGAUACAUUUGUGCUAAGUUAUAGCCUUUUCAUAGACAACUUGUUGACUAUGAUCAGUCAUGUAGCUUACUCGCUUAUGCUAUUUUACCUACGCUUAGGAUGUUGAGCGCAUGUCUCUCUCU
This 778-nucleotide ribosomal RNA is filed under the name uncultured Neocallimastigales. Its description in RNAcentral is "partial large subunit ribosomal RNA". It matches the Rfam family "Eukaryotic large subunit ribosomal RNA", at positions 24 to 616 of the family's 3401-position model. Lineage: Eukaryota; Fungi; Neocallimastigomycota; Neocallimastigomycetes; Neocallimastigales. The record is from RNAcentral.